GCUGGGUGUGGUGGUGCACGCCUGUAAUCCCAGCUGCUCAGGAGGCUGAGGCAGGAGAAUCACUUGAACCCAGGAGGCAGAGGUUGCAUUGAGCCGAGAUUGUGCCACUGAACUCCAGCCUGGGCAACAGAGUGAGAUUCUGUCUCAA
RNAcentral lists this non-coding RNA (148 nucleotides) under Gorilla gorilla gorilla (western lowland gorilla). Lineage: Eukaryota; Metazoa; Chordata; Mammalia; Primates; Hominidae. The record is from Rfam by way of RNAcentral.